RNAcentral lists this ribosomal RNA (778 nucleotides) under Salmonella enterica subsp. enterica serovar Vitkin. RNAcentral's name for it is "partial 23S ribosomal RNA". It matches the Rfam family "Bacterial large subunit ribosomal RNA", at positions 769 to 1547 of the family's 2925-position model. Lineage: Bacteria; Pseudomonadati; Pseudomonadota; Gammaproteobacteria; Enterobacterales; Enterobacteriaceae. The record is from RNAcentral.
GAGGACCGAACCGACUAAUGUUGAAAAAUUAGCGGAUGACCUGUGGCUGGGGGUGAAAGGCCAAUCAAACCGGGAGAUAGCUGGUUCUCCCCGAAAGCUAUUUAGGUAGCGCCUCGUGAAUUCAUCUCCGGGGGUAGAGCACUGUUUCGGCUAGGGGGCCAUCCCGGCUUACCAACCCGAUGCAAACUGCGAAUACCGGAGAAUGUUAUCACGGGAGACACACGGCGGGUGCUAACGUCCGUCGUGAAGAGGGAAACAACCCAGACCGCCAGCUAAGGUCCCAAAGUCAUGGUUAAGUGGGAAACGAUGUGGGAAGGCCCAGACAGCCAGGAUGUUGGCUUAGAAGCAGCCAUCAUUUAAAGAAAGCGUAAUAGCUCACUGGUCGAGUCGGCCUGCGCGGAAGAUGUAACGGGGCUAAACCAUGCACCGAAGCUGCGGCAGCGACGCUGAUGCGUUGUUGGGUAGGGGAGCGUUCUGUAAGCCUGCGAAGGUGGCCUGUGAGGGUUGCUGGAGGUAUCAGAAGUGCGAAUGCUGACAUAAGUAACGAUAAAGCGGGUGAAAAGCCCGCUCGCCGGAAGACCAAGGGUUCCUGUCCAACGUUAAUCGGGGCAGGGUGAGUCGACCCCUAAGGCGAGGCCGAAAGGCGUAGUCGAUGGGAAACGGGUUAAUAUUCCCGUACUUGGUGUUACUGCGAAGGGGGGACGGAGAAGGCUAUGUUGGCCGGGCGACGGUUGUCCCGGUUUAAGCGUGUAGGUGUGUGUUCCAGGUAAAUCCGGUU